CGGUCCAGACUCCUACGGGAGGCAGCAGUGGGGAAUAUUGCACAAUGGGGGAAACCCUGAUGCAGCCAUGCCGCGUGUGUGAAGAAGGCCUUCGGGUUGUAAAGCACUUUCAGCGAGGAGGAAAGGUUGAUGCCUAAUACGUAUCAACUGUGACGUUACUCGCAGAAGAAGCACCGGCUAACUCCGUGCCAGCAGCCGCGGUAAUACGGAGGGUGCAAGCGUUAAUCGGAAUUACUGGGCGUAAAGCGCACGCAGGCGGUUGGAUAAGUUAGAU
This 274-nucleotide ribosomal RNA is filed under the name Aeromonas caviae. RNAcentral's name for it is "partial 16S ribosomal RNA". It matches the Rfam family "Bacterial small subunit ribosomal RNA", at positions 327 to 593 of the family's 1533-position model. Lineage: Bacteria; Pseudomonadati; Pseudomonadota; Gammaproteobacteria; Aeromonadales; Aeromonadaceae. The record is from RNAcentral.